Non-coding RNA from Pelobates cultripes (western spadefoot toad), 414 nucleotides. The record is from the annotation of a GenBank genome assembly. Lineage: Eukaryota; Metazoa; Chordata; Amphibia; Anura; Pelobatidae.
CUGGAAACAGAAAGGGGCAACUCUUAAAGACAGGCUGUACUUCAACAAUCUCAAGUUAUACUUGCCCAAGAACAUAUACUCAGCAGUGGUCCAGUGGGCCUACGGAGCAUCUGUCCAGAACCCUCAUGAACUCUUUUGAUCAAUAAAUACUCUGAAGUACCAGGAAUUGAAUCUCUGACCAACAGUUACUGUAAAUCUUGUGCCAUUUGUGCCAAGGGCAACUCAAGAAGAAUGGAUGAAAGCCCCAAGCAUCUAGCCAAACCUCAUUAUCUCUUCCAGAGGAGUCAAGUCGCCAGAAUGCCAAAGAAUGGCUGAUUCAAAUAUGCACUAAUUAUAGCAGACAUGUUUUCAGGAUGGCCAGAGGCCUAUCCAGCCACCAAAGUGAUAACCAAGACCACAUGCUGAGUAGUGCAC